Molecule: unclassified non-coding RNA, 433 nt
Filed under: soil metagenome
Description: partial contains 5.8S ribosomal RNA, internal transcribed spacer 2, and large subunit ribosomal RNA
Rfam family: 5.8S ribosomal RNA (bases 1-120)
Source: RNAcentral
GAUGAAGAACGCAGCGAAAUGCGAUACGUAAUGUGAAUUGCAGAAUUCAGUGAAUCAUCGAAUCUUUGAACGCAUAUUGCGCUCUCUGGUAUUCCGGAGAGCAUGCUUGUUUGAGUAUCAGUAAACACCUCAACUUCCAUAUCUUUUUUGAAAUGGGAGUUGGACUUGAGUGAUCCCAACGCUUUUCCUCACCGAAAAGUGGCGGGUUACUUGAAAUGCAGGUGCAGCUGGACUUUUCUCUGAGCUAUAAGCAUAUCUAUUUAGUCUGCCUAAAAAACAGACUAUUACCUUUGCUGCAGCUAACAUAAAGGAGAUUAGUUCUUGUGCUGACUGAUGCAGGAUUCACAAAGACAGGCUUCCGCCGACUUUGUAAACUCGAUCUCAAAUCAAGUAAGACUACCCGCUGAACUUAAGCAUAUCAAUAAGCGGAGGA